AGCAAUAAAAUCUGUCUCUUUGC
This 23-nucleotide non-coding RNA is filed under the name Arabidopsis thaliana (thale cress). The record is from RNAcentral. Lineage: Eukaryota; Viridiplantae; Streptophyta; Magnoliopsida; Brassicales; Brassicaceae.